AUUGAACGCUGGCGGAAUGCUUUACACAUGCAAGUCGAGCGGCAGCACGGGGGUAACCCUGGUGGCGAGCGGCGAACGGGUGAGUAAUACAUCGGAACAUGCCCAGUCGUGGGGGAUAACACUUCGAAAGAAGUGCUAAUACCGCAUACGUCCUGAGGGAGAAAGCGGGGGAUCGCAAGACCUCGCGCGAUUGGAGUGGCCGAUGUCAGAUUAGCUAGUUGGUGGGGUAAAGGCCUACCAAGGCAACGAUCUGAAGCUGGUCUGAGAGGAUGAUCAGCCACACUGGGACUGAGACACGGCCCAGACUCCUACGGGAGGCAGCAGUGGGGAAUUUUGGACAAUGGGGGCAACCCUGAUCCAGCCAUUCCGCGUGAGUGAAGAAGGCCUUCGGGUUGUAAAGCUCUUUCGGCAGGAACGAAACGGUGAGCUCUAACAUAGCUUGCUAAUGACGGUACCUGAAGAAGAAGCACCGGCUAACUACGUG
Molecule: ribosomal RNA, 484 nt
Filed under: uncultured bacterium
Lineage: Bacteria
Description: partial 16S ribosomal RNA
Rfam family: Bacterial small subunit ribosomal RNA
Source: RNAcentral